RNAcentral lists this non-coding RNA (26 nucleotides) under Mus musculus (house mouse). Lineage: Eukaryota; Metazoa; Chordata; Mammalia; Rodentia; Muridae. The record is from RNAcentral.
UCGUUGUGCCCACUGUCGGAAGCGCU